This is a non-coding RNA of Acanthosepion pharaonis, 96 nucleotides long. NCBI's taxonomy places the organism in Eukaryota, Metazoa, Mollusca, Cephalopoda, Sepiida, Sepiidae. The record is from the annotation of a GenBank genome assembly.
AAAACACUUGUUCCCAUAUGAUCACCAAAGUUAAGCAACGUCAAGCCUGGUCAGUACCUAAAUGGUUAACCACCUGAGAAUACCAGGUGAUGUAAG